UCAAUAUUAAGGUAACGAAGUUGAUACUAGUUCUUGAAAUCCUAGUUGAUAUUGAGUGAGAUAUCAAGUUAUUGUUGGUAACCCAUGUUGAAAUUGUGAUUUUGGAAUAAGUAAGGUUUUUGGCUAUGGAGAUUAAUAAGGGUGAUGGUUGUGUUUCAUGCUAAAUCUAGAUGAACAAUGGUAGUUGCUUACAUCUUGAUAUUUAUGAGUUCCUUUCUUGGUUCUACCUUAGGUCCAUAAGU
Molecule: long non-coding RNA, 242 nt
Filed under: Gossypium barbadense (sea-island cotton)
Lineage: Eukaryota; Viridiplantae; Streptophyta; Magnoliopsida; Malvales; Malvaceae
Description: long non-coding RNA (GBAR_LNC005165)
Source: RNAcentral